RNAcentral lists this ribosomal RNA (499 nucleotides) under uncultured Bacillus sp. RNAcentral describes it as "bacterial SSU rRNA". It matches the Rfam family "Bacterial small subunit ribosomal RNA", at positions 903 to 1382 of the family's 1533-position model. The record is from RNAcentral. Lineage: Bacteria; Bacillati; Bacillota; Bacilli; Caryophanales; Bacillaceae.
AGCCCGCUCAGAAACUACAAAGGAAUUGACGGGGGCCCGGCACAAGCGGUGGAGUAUGUGGUUUAAUUCGAUGCAACGCGAAGAACCUUACCAGGCCUUGACAUGCAGAGAACUUUCCAGAGAUGGAUUGGUGCCUUCGGGAACUCUGACACAGGUGCUGCAUGGCUGUCGUCAGCUCGUGUCGUGAGAUGUUGGGUUAAGUCCCGUAACGAGCGCAACCCUUGUCCUUAGUUACCAGCACGUUAUGGUGGGCACUCUAAGGAGACUGCCGGUGACAAACCGGAGGAAGGUGGGGAUGACGUCAAGUCCUCAUGGCCUUUAUGACCAGGGCUACACACGUACUACAAUGGCCGAUACAAAGGGCAGCGACACUGCGAAGUGAAGCCAAUCCCGUAAAAUCGGUCUCAGUCCGGAUUGGAGUCUGCAACUCGACUCCAUGAAGUUGGAAUCGCUAGUAAUCGUGGAUCAGCAUGCCACGGUGAAUACGUUCCCGGGCCUU